This 67-nucleotide transfer RNA is filed under the name Marmota monax (woodchuck). RNAcentral's name for it is "tRNA.Ala". The record is from RNAcentral. Lineage: Eukaryota; Metazoa; Chordata; Mammalia; Rodentia; Sciuridae.
GGUUAUGGCUCAGCGGUAGAGCGCUUGCCUAGCACAUGCGAGGCCCUGGGUUCGAUCCUCAGCACCA